This 74-nucleotide transfer RNA is filed under the name Podarcis lilfordi (Lilford's wall lizard). RNAcentral describes it as "tRNA.Ser". Lineage: Eukaryota; Metazoa; Chordata; Lepidosauria; Squamata; Lacertidae. The record is from RNAcentral.
GCCUGGAUAACUCAGUUGGUUAGAGCAUGGUGCUGCUAACAUCAAGAUGGCAGGUUUGAUCCCUGUAUGGGACA